AGAGUUUGAUCCUGGCUCAGGAUGAACGCUGGCGGCGUGCUUAACACAUGCAAGUCGAACGAAGCCAAAAGGAAGCUUGCUUUCUUUGAAGCUUAGUGGCGGACGGGUGAGUAACGCGUGAGUAACCUGCCCUUCAGUGGGGAAUAACACAGAGAAAUCUGUGCUAAUACCGCAUAACGUCUUCUUGCCGCAUGACAGGAAGACCAAAGGAUUUAUUCGCUGAAGGAUGGACUCGCGUCCGAUUAGCUAGUUGGUGAGGUAACGGCCCACCAAGGCGACGAUCGGUAGCCGAACUGAGAGGUUGAUCGGCCACAUUGGGACUGAGACACGGCCCAGACUCCUACGGGAGGCAGCAGUGGGGAAUAUUGGGCAAUGGGCGAAAGCCUGACCCAGCAACGCCGCGUGAAGGAAGACGGUCUUCGGAUUGUAAACUUCUUUGAUUGGGGAAGAAACAAAUGACCUACCCAAAGAACAAGUCACGGCUAACUACGUGCC
This 495-nucleotide ribosomal RNA is filed under the name uncultured organism. Its description in RNAcentral is "SSU rRNA". It matches the Rfam family "Bacterial small subunit ribosomal RNA", at positions 8 to 509 of the family's 1533-position model. The record is from RNAcentral.